This 464-nucleotide ribosomal RNA is filed under the name uncultured Methanosaeta sp. Its description in RNAcentral is "bacterial SSU rRNA". It matches the Rfam family "Archaeal small subunit ribosomal RNA", at positions 875 to 1338 of the family's 1478-position model. The record is from RNAcentral. Lineage: Archaea; Methanobacteriati; Methanobacteriota; Methanomicrobia; Methanotrichales; Methanotrichaceae.
AGCACCACAACGGGUGGAGCUUGCGGUUUAAUUGGAUUCAACGCCGGAAAUCUUACCGGGACCGACAGCAAUAUGAAGGCCAGGCUGAAGACUUUGCCGGAUUAGCUGAGAGGUGGUGCAUGGCCGUCGUCAGUUCGUACUGUGAAGCAUCCUGUUAAGUCAGGCAACGAGCGAGACCCACGCCCACAGUUGCCAGCGUACUCUCUGGAGUGACGGGUACGCUGUGGGGACCGCCGCUGCUAAAGCGGAGGAAGGAAUGGGCAACGGUAGGUCAGUAUGCCCCGAAUAUCCCGGGCUACACGCGAGCUACAAUGGUUGGUACAAUGGGUAUCUACCCCGAAAGGGGACGGGAAUCUCCUAAAACCAAUCUUAGUUCGGAUUGAGGGCUGCAACUCGCCCUCAUGAAGCUGGAAUCCGUAGUAAUCGCGUUUCAACAGAACGCGGUGAAUACGUCCCUGCUCCUU